CUGUGACGGUGAGGAACCUUCAUGGCUAUGAGUGCCCUACUCUGGCAUCAAACCAUGGCUGUUCCCAGCUUUGUCCCUAAAAGGCUGUGAGACCUUGCGUGAGGAACCUGACUUCUCAGAGACCGUUUCCAUGGGGAUGAUGGUGUGGUUGCCACUUCACAGGAUUAUUAUAGGGCUUAGAAGAGAUCAAGUGUGGAAAGCCCAUAGUGGUGUACCUAGAACACAAAAAUAUGAUGCUGGCAUGCUAAUCGCGGGAGACAACUUGGCCCACAGACAGCCACAAAGCACAAAAACAAAACAAACUCAGAGAAGAAGAAACAAGAACGGUGUUUGCCUGGCGUCUACAAGAAGCGCUUUAUUUUUCCUCUAGAUUUCUUUUCUAAAAAAACAAAACAAAACAAAAAACAAAACUGAAACAAACAUUUAAAGAAACAGUGCGAACUUCAGGUGAUAAUAUUCAAGCAUGUUCUUUUAUUAAGCAUAGGAUGGGAGGAGUGACAGGAAGUCUAAGCAGAAAUCUCCAGCAGGAUAACGCAGAGGUCUUGAACCUCUGUGAUCCGGGUUACUUCUAGAAACUGCAAAUGAGGAAUGAAUGGAAACGACUUUUUAUCCUCUGCUCCCGCAAAUAUCCUGUAUAUUCUCAUGGACGCAAUGCUUCCUUUCUUGCCUGCCAAGGUGUCUAGGGCAUGAUUUGCAGAAUUUGUUACAAUCUCUAAAGAAUUUUGGGUGCAGCUUUGGCGAGGGAGUGGGCGGGCCAGCCCUUCUGUGACCCGCCAGCUCUGUGUAUGGCACCCAUUUCUAA
Molecule: long non-coding RNA, 802 nt
Organism: Herpailurus yagouaroundi (jaguarundi)
Lineage: Eukaryota; Metazoa; Chordata; Mammalia; Carnivora; Felidae
Exons: 2
Source: RefSeq, a predicted model, not a curated record